CCUGGAUCUCUUGCUCUGAGGGAAGGUGGGGAGAGAGAGGACCCAACCUUUUGAUUACAUGAUGUCAGAUGGUCCUUCCCCACUGCCACAAAAAAUUCUGCUGUCCUUGUCCUAACACUGGAGCUUCAGUGUCACAACAGCAUCUUCCAGGCCAUAAAUUCCCUUAGAAAAGGAAAAGCAGAUAAACUAAGAAGUGCAUUAACCAAAUGGAUUAACCAAGAAAUAUAGUAACACAAAUUCACGGAAGAUAAGGCUAUCAAAGACUACUAACCAUGAUAGAUAUGUUCUACCUCUACUGUUGGAGACUUUUGAAUACCAGCUGCUGGAAACCACAAGAGGGAAGAGGGCUGCAGCUACAAGCUUCCCAUAGGCAUCUGAUUGGCACUAUGAGAACAGGAGGCUGGACUAGAUGGGCCACUGGCUUGAUAUAUAUAUGCAUAAUUAAACUUAAUGAAUUUUCAUCUUU
Molecule: long non-coding RNA, 466 nt
Organism: Podarcis raffonei (Aeolian wall lizard)
Lineage: Eukaryota; Metazoa; Chordata; Lepidosauria; Squamata; Lacertidae
Exons: 2
Source: RefSeq, a predicted model, not a curated record